Molecule: ribosomal RNA, 468 nt
Filed under: uncultured bacterium
Lineage: Bacteria
Description: partial 16S ribosomal RNA
Rfam family: Bacterial small subunit ribosomal RNA
Source: RNAcentral
GACGAACGCUGGCGGCGUGCUUAACACAUGCAAGUCGAACGGAAAGGCCCUGCUUUUGUGGGGUGCUCGAGUGGCGAACGGGUGAGUAACACGUGAGUAACCUGCCCUUGACUUUGGGAUAACUUCAGGAAACUGGGGCUAAUACCGGAUAGGAGCCCCUGCUGCAUGGUGGGGGUUGGAAAGUUUCGGCGGGUGGGGAUGGACUCGCGGCUUAUCAGCUUGUUGGUGGGGUAGUGGCUUACCAAGGCUUUGACGGGUAGCCGGCCUGAGAGGAUGACCGGCCACAUUGGGACUGAGAGACGGACCAGACGCCUACGGGAGGCAGCAGUGGGGAAUAUGGCACAAUGGGCGGAAGCCGGAUGCAGCAACGCCGCGUGCGGGAUGACGGCCUGCGGGGUGUAAACCGCUUUCGCCUGUGACGAAGCGUGAGUGACGGUAAUGGGUAAAGAAGCACCGGCUAACUACGUG